UCAAACCCAGAGAAGUACGGGUAUUAGUGUCAAAGUAAUCAAGUUUCUUUCUUUUUUUUCUUUUUUUCUUUUUUUCUUUCUCUUUCUCUAAUCAAGUUUCUUCUUCGAUUUCUUCCGACUCCUUCAAGUUGGAAAUUUUGGCUAGAAAUUCUGUCUCUUUUCUCGACCGCCGCCUCUAAAGAUGCUGGCUGUAAACCACUCGUUGAUGAUUUUCUCCCAAGUGCUUGCCCACCCAACAUCAAUGCUCCAUCUGAUUGUAAAAGUUUUCUAAGUUUCAGCUGAUGAACAUGGCGAAGUACAUGCCCAAGGAGAAUAUGAUGUGGAAAAAUCCAUAGUUAUAACGGAUAUCAUCCUCUAGUUUCAUCAUAUCUUUGCUAAAUUGGGAAAUCAUAAGAGCUAUUAAAUGUUUCUUAUUU
Hibiscus syriacus is the source of this 416-nucleotide long non-coding RNA. RefSeq lists it as uncharacterized. The transcript has 3 exons. Lineage: Eukaryota; Viridiplantae; Streptophyta; Magnoliopsida; Malvales; Malvaceae. The record is from RefSeq and is a predicted model, not a curated record.